GACGAACGCUGGCGGCGUGCUUAACACAUGCAAGUCGAGCGGUAAGGCCCUUUCAGGGGUACACGAGCGGCGAACGGGUGAGUAACACGUGGGUGACCUGCCCUCAGCUCUGGGAUAAGCCCGGGAAACUGGGUCUAAUACCGGAUAUGACUCCAUGACGCAUGUUGUGGGGUGGAAAGCCUUGUGCGGCUGAGGAUGGGCCCGCGGCCUAUCAGCUUGUUGGUGGGGUGAUGGCCUACCAAGGCGACGACGGGUAGCCGGCCUGAGAGGGCGACCGGCCACACUGGGACUGAGAUACGGCCCAGACUCCUACGGGAGGC
RNAcentral lists this ribosomal RNA (320 nucleotides) under uncultured bacterium. RNAcentral describes it as "bacterial SSU rRNA". It matches the Rfam family "Bacterial small subunit ribosomal RNA", at positions 28 to 349 of the family's 1533-position model. The record is from RNAcentral.